GGAAAAGUAAUCGUUAGAGAUAGAGAAAGAGAUAGAGAGAGUGAGAGGAGUUGUAUAAUUCGAGAAUAAUCAUGAUGCCUUGUUACAGUGUGAAGGUCUCCUUUAUAUAAUAGGAGACCUUCCUCGAAAUAAUCAAAAAGGUACAAGAGUAAGUAGCUUUUCCGUAGGGAAGACAUUGUUGUAUUAAACGACGCUGCCUUUGUCCUCACGUCCAAGUCAUACCAUUGCUUUAGUUAUGCUCUAAGGCGUACCCAUCUACAUAGAGACGUCUAGGGUCAAAUUUGACCAUAUACAGUUAGUCCCUUCGUUUGUUGGAGGUGAAUUCGAUAGGUGUUUCCAAUGGACGGAAUUGUAAACCUCGUCUUUGGAGAAUUUGACCUCAUACUUGGGCGGCGACAGGAACGCGGUGAAAUGCUUAACGUUGUUGAGCUGUUGAUGUGUGGUUCCUUUUUAGGAUGACAUCAC
Molecule: long non-coding RNA, 465 nt
Filed under: Nicotiana benthamiana
Lineage: Eukaryota; Viridiplantae; Streptophyta; Magnoliopsida; Solanales; Solanaceae
Description: long non-coding RNA (NBEN_LNC018010)
Source: RNAcentral